GAUGAAGAACGCAGCAAAAUGCGAUAAGUAAUGUGAAUUGCAGAAUUCAGUGAAUCAUCGAAUCUUUGAACGCACAUUGCGCCCGCCAGUAUUCUGGCGGGCAUGCCUGUUCGAGCGUCAUUUCAACCCUCAAGCCCCCGGGUUUGGUGUUGGGGAUCGGCGAGCCUCACGGCAAGCCGGCCCCGAAAUACAGUGGCGGUCUCGCUGCAGCUUCCAUUGCGUAGUAGUAAAACCCUCGCAACUGGUACGCGGCGCGGCCAAGCCGUUAAACCCCCAACUUCUGAAUGUUGACCUCGGAUCAGGUAGGAAUACCCGCUGAACUUAAGCAUAUCAAUAAGCGGAGGA
RNAcentral lists this unclassified non-coding RNA (345 nucleotides) under soil metagenome. RNAcentral's name for it is "partial contains 5.8S ribosomal RNA, internal transcribed spacer 2, and large subunit ribosomal RNA". The stretch from base 1 to 120 matches the Rfam family "5.8S ribosomal RNA", at positions 35 to 154 of the family's 154-position model. The record is from RNAcentral.